GUCAGGAUGGCUGAGCGGUCCAAGGCGCUGCGUUUAGGUCACAGUCCACUCUGUGGGCGUGGGUUCUAAUCUCACUCUUGACA
This is a transfer RNA of Schistosoma mansoni, 83 nucleotides long. It matches the Rfam family "tRNA". Rfam says of the family: Transfer RNA (tRNA) molecules are approximately 80 nucleotides in length. Their secondary structure includes four short double-helical elements and three loops (D, anti-codon, and T loops). Lineage: Eukaryota; Metazoa; Platyhelminthes; Trematoda; Strigeidida; Schistosomatidae. The record is from Rfam.